This 881-nucleotide long non-coding RNA is filed under the name Heterocephalus glaber (naked mole-rat). RNAcentral describes it as "lncRNA (ENSHGLG00100051558.1)". The record is from RNAcentral. Lineage: Eukaryota; Metazoa; Chordata; Mammalia; Rodentia; Bathyergidae.
GAAAAUUGAAUGUGAAUCCUGCGAGGGACCGAGCUGACAGGGGGCACCAGAGCGGCAGCGCGCUCUAGGCGCGGUCCCCUCGGCCACCCGACGAAGCCCUAGGAGGAUGUCUUGGAAUCUGUACAACUGCCGUUCGCCAUUCACCAAUCUGCAUUGAAGCUCUGGGGACUUCCAGGCCUUGUGAAGUCGGGGCUUCAUGGAGGAGGUGAUACCUGAGCUUGGGAGUCAGAGAACAGGCAAAACUUCACCGAGUCACACACUUACAAAAAUAUUUUGCUUCCUUUAAGCCACUUGUUCCGGGCUGGAAUACAACAGUAGGUACAUCUGUUCUUUUUGAAGUGACAACUUGGUGGGGGAGAAAAUAUGAUUGCUCCAGGCAAAAACAUAAGUCCUUGAAAGAGCAGGAAUGAGGAGAACUGCAAAGGAGCAAGUGACAGGAUGCAGAGCACCCCAUGGAGGGCUUCUCGGAGUGGGGGAGGCCAGAGACAGGAAAAUGACUGGGACCUACCUGUGCCACAAGUAGAGGGUACAAAGCUUUGCCAACUCCACCAGCGCACCCAGGGGACCCUGCCCACUUUAAGCCCCUGUUCCAGGACGGAGCGCAAGCGGAGCCUCUACCUGCUGGGCUGGUUGGCAGAAUUCAAGGAAAUCAUCUCUACGAAAUGCCUAGCACAAGGUCAGGCAUGCACCAAAUGUUCCAUACAUGUUAGUCUCCUUCUCCUUGCCUCCCAGGCAAAGAGCAGCUCAUUUACCUAGGUACUGUUCAGUGAUUAAGUGCAUUGACUCUGGAGCCAGACUGCUUGGUUCAAAGCCCAAUUCUGCCACUUAUGAGCCAUGUGACCCUGGGCAAAUCACUUGUCCUCUCUGUGCCUGUUUUCCAG